Molecule: ribosomal RNA, 477 nt
Filed under: uncultured bacterium
Lineage: Bacteria
Description: bacterial SSU rRNA
Rfam family: Bacterial small subunit ribosomal RNA
Source: RNAcentral
GACGAACGCUGGCGGCGUGCUUAACACAUGCAAGUCGAGCGGUAAGGCCCUUUCGGGGGUACACGAGCGGCGAACGGGUGAGUAACACGUGGGUGACCUGCCCUCAGCUCUGGGAUAAGCCCGGGAAACUGGGUCUAAUACCGGAUAUGACUCCACGGUGCAUGUCGUGGGGUGGAAAGCCUUGUGCGGCUGAGGAUGGGCCCGCGGCCUAUCAGCUUGUUGGUGAGGUAACGGCNCACCAAGGCGACGAUCAGUAGCUGGUCUGAGAGGAUGAUCAGCCACAUUGGGACUGAGACACGGCCCAAACUCCUACGGGAGGCAGCAGUGGGGAAUAUUGGACAAUGGGCGCAAGCCUGAUCCAGCCAUGCCGCGUGAGUGAUGAAGGCCCUAGGGUUGUAAAGCUCUUUUACCCGGGAAGAUAAUGACUGUACCGGGAGAAUAAGCCCCGGCUAACUUCGUGCCAGCAGCCGCUGUAAG